RNAcentral lists this ribosomal RNA (253 nucleotides) under uncultured bacterium. RNAcentral describes it as "partial 16S ribosomal RNA". It matches the Rfam family "Bacterial small subunit ribosomal RNA", at positions 524 to 776 of the family's 1533-position model. The record is from RNAcentral.
UACGAAGGGGGCUAGCGUUGCUCGGAAUCACUGGGCGUAAAGGGUGCGUAGGCGGGUCUUUAAGUCAGGGGUGAAAUCCUGGAGCUCAACUCCAGAACUGCCUUUGAUACUGAAGAUCUUGAGUCCGGGAGAGGUGAGUGGAACUGCGAGUGUAGAGGUGAAAUUCGUAGAUAUUCGGAAGAACACCAGUGGCGAAGGCGACUCACUGGCCCGUUACUGACGCUGAGGCGCGAAAGCUAGGGGAGCAAACGGG